UACGUAGGGGGCAAGCGUUGUCCGGAAUUAUUGGGCGUAAAGAGCGUGUAGGCGGUCCGGUAAGUCAGCUGUGAAAGUCAAGGGCUCAACCCUUGAAUGCCGGUUGAUACUGUCGGGCUAGAGUCCGGAAGAGGCGAGUGGAAUUCCCGGUGUAGCGGUGAAAUGCGUAGAUAUCGAGAGGAACACCUGCGGCGAAGGCGGGUUGCUGGGCUGACACUGACGCUGAUGCGCGAAAGCCAGGGGAGCGAACGGG
Molecule: ribosomal RNA, 253 nt
Filed under: uncultured bacterium
Lineage: Bacteria
Description: partial 16S ribosomal RNA
Rfam family: Bacterial small subunit ribosomal RNA
Source: RNAcentral